This 547-nucleotide ribosomal RNA is filed under the name uncultured bacterium. RNAcentral's name for it is "bacterial SSU rRNA". It matches the Rfam family "Bacterial small subunit ribosomal RNA", at positions 355 to 895 of the family's 1533-position model. The record is from RNAcentral.
UAGGGAAUCUUCCGCAAUGGGCGAAAGCCUGACGGAGCAACGCCGCGUGAGUGAAGAAGGAUUUCGGUUCGUAAAGCUCUGUUGUUAGGGAAGAAUGGAUAUGUAGUAACUAUACAUGUAAGAGACGGUACCUAACCAGAAAGCCACGGCUAACUACGUGCCAGCAGCCGCGGUAAUACGUAGGUGGCAAGCGUUGUCCGGAAUUAUUGGGCGUAAAGCGCGCGCAGGUGGUUUAAUAAGUCUGAUGUGAAAGCCCACGGCUCAACCGUGGAGGGUCAUUGGAAACUGUUAAACUUGAGUGCAGGAGAGAAAAGUGGAAUUCCUAGUGUAGCGGUGAAAUGCGUAGAGAUUAGGAGGAACACCAGUGGCGAAGGCGGCUUUUUGGCCUGUAACUGACACUGAGGCGCGAAAGCGUGGGGAGCAAACAGGAUUAGAUACCCUGGUAGUCCACGCCGUAAACGAUGAGUGCUAAGUGUUGGUCUCAUAAGAGAUCAGUGCUGCAGCUAACGCAUUAAGCACUCCGCCUGGGGAGUACGACCGCAAGGUU